UUAAAAACUCACUGUGAAUACCUUGAAAUCAUCAGUAACUUUGUAUAUUCUAAACACGACAUAACAACUUAUAGAAAAACGAUGAAACUAUUGCAACUAAUAUUUAUACUCGGCUGCAUUACUGCUGGUGUGUUGGCUGUCCCAAAUAAUUAUAUACAUGGCAACAAUAACCACAACAAUCAUCAAACAACUAUAACUAUUCCUAUUAUUAUUGGAUAAUGCCAGACGAUAAUAGCUAUUAAUAGCAGAUAAUAAAAAACUAAUACAAAAUUUAUGAAACAUUAAAAUUAAAGUGAAAUGAAAAUAAACUAAAUUUAAGCAAUUAAAA
This is a long non-coding RNA of Calliphora vicina (urban bluebottle blowfly), 328 nucleotides long. RefSeq lists it as uncharacterized. The transcript is spliced from 2 exons. The record is from RefSeq and is a predicted model, not a curated record. NCBI's taxonomy places the organism in Eukaryota, Metazoa, Arthropoda, Insecta, Diptera, Calliphoridae.